UUUGACGCAUCACACACCAGUGAUGAUGACAGUCUCAUCAAGUUUGAGGGAAGAGUGAGAGUGCUGACGAGCGGCGGACGGCUGAGUAACACGUAGGAACGUACCCCAAAGUGAGGGAUAAGCACCAGAAAUGGUGUCUAAUACCGCAUGUGGCCUUCGGGCUAAAGCUUUAUGCGCUUUGGGAACGGCCUGCGCAUGAUUAGCUUGUUGGUGAGGUAAUGGCUCACCAAGGCUAUGAUCAUUAGCUGGUCUGAGAGGAUGAUCAGCCAGACUGGGACUGAGACACGGCCCAGACUCCUACGGGAGGCAGCAGUAGGGAAUUUUCCACAAUGGGCGAAAGCCUGAUGGAGCAACGCCGCGUGCAGGAUGAAUGCCUUCGGGUUGUAAACUGCUUUUAUAUGUGAAGAUUAUGACGGUAGCAUAUGAAUAAGGAUCGGCUAACUCCGUGCCAGCAGCCGCGGUCAUACGGAGGAUCCAAGCGUUAUCCGGAAUUACUGGGCGUAAAGAGUUGCGUAGGUGGCAUAGUAAGUUGGUAGUG
Molecule: ribosomal RNA, 538 nt
Filed under: uncultured bacterium
Lineage: Bacteria
Description: bacterial SSU rRNA
Rfam family: Bacterial small subunit ribosomal RNA
Source: RNAcentral